RNAcentral lists this RNase P RNA (322 nucleotides) under bovine gut metagenome. RNAcentral's name for it is "Bacterial RNase P class A". It matches the Rfam family "Bacterial RNase P class A". From Rfam's summary of the family: Ribonuclease P (RNase P) is a ubiquitous endoribonuclease, found in archaea, bacteria and eukarya as well as chloroplasts and mitochondria. Its best characterised activity is the generation of mature 5'-ends of tRNAs by cleaving the 5'-leader elements of precursor-tRNAs. Cellular RNase Ps are ribonucleoproteins. The record is from RNAcentral.
GAGUUGUCGCGGCCGCAAGGCUGAGGAAAGUCCGGGCAACGCAGAGCACCAUACUUCCUAACGGGAAGGCGCGCGCAAGCGCGACAGACAGUGCCACAGAAACGAUACCGCCCGCUUGCGGGUAAGGGUGAAAACGCGAGGUAAGAGCUCACGCUGUCGUCAGUGAUGCCGACAGGGGUAAACCUUAUGGGUUGAAAGACCAAAUAAACCGGGGCUUGAGGGCUGCUCGUCCGACCCGGAGGGUAGGUUGAUAGAGGCAUACGGUGACGUAUGCUCGAGAUAAAUGACAACACAAAACAGAACCCGGCUUACGGGUUUUCCU